RNAcentral lists this long non-coding RNA (5042 nucleotides) under Nicotiana benthamiana. Its description in RNAcentral is "long non-coding RNA (NBEN_LNC017820)". The record is from RNAcentral. Lineage: Eukaryota; Viridiplantae; Streptophyta; Magnoliopsida; Solanales; Solanaceae.
AUCUUCCCAACACAGAGCAAACUGAAUCUCUUCACAAAAAAGUAAAAGAACAGAUUCAAUCUUUUCGCCAAAAAGUUGGUUCACUGCAAGCGCUUCUUGAAACAUUGGAGAAGAAUAUCAAUGAUCCUAAGACAAUUGAACAUUGUGAAGUCAAGAUCAAAGAUGUAGCACAUGAUGCAGAAUAUAGAAUUGAAUCAGAAAUGGAAAAAUUUUAUAAGGCUCAAAAUGAAAAGGUUAGGAGAGAAGCUUAUGAGGAUUUUUGCAAGAGGUUGCAAAAAGCAUCUGAGUCCAUAGAUUCCAAUUCCAGAAAGUUAACUGAAAGUAUGAAGAGUGGUUUGCAGGCAACUAGUUCACUUGUCCAAAGUUUUGAUUUACCCGAACAUUCUCCACAGCUUGGCAAUAACAUGGUUGGACAUGAAAAUGAAGUGGAGGAUGUGAAGUGUAAACUCAUGAAAAUCUCAUCCGAUGAAAGAGAAACUAUGGCAAUCACAGGUAUGGGGGCAUAGGCAAGACAACCUUUGCUAGAAAAAUUUAUGAUGAUCCAGAAAUUAAAUCACAUUUUGACAUUCUAGCAUGGGUUACUGUGUCAAAGGAAUAUUGUGUUAGAAAGAUGUUGCUGCAGCUUCUUCAUUGUAUUCCAUCAACAGAAGAAGUACGCCGUGAAGCAAGGGAUGAUGGUGAGCUAGCAGGCAAAUUGAAACAGAGGCUGUGGAAAUGCAGGUACCUAGUUGUCAUCGACGAUAUAUGGAGCAGCAAAGCUUGGGAUAAUAUAAGUCCAUGGUUUCCAGAUUGCAAAGGAAGUCAUAUCCCACUUACCACAAGGUGCGGGAAUGUGGCCAGUUAUGCUGCUCCAGGUAAGACUCCUCAUCACAUGUCUUCUCUAAGUCCAGAGAAAAGUUGGGAACUAUUGCAAUCGAAGCUUCUUGAGAAAGUAGAGCUCUCUCCAGAAUUAGUAAAAAUUGGAAAGAAAAUUGCAGAAAAUUGUCAUGGAAUGCCUUUGACUAUUACUGUAGUUGCUGGAAUUCUAUCUAAAUGCAACAAUGCAUUAGAUGGAUGGAAGCGAGUAGCACAUGAUGUAAAAUCAGCAAUAUUUAAAGAUCUUGGCAGACAAUGCGAAAGGUCCUCGGGUUAAGUUACUACUAUCUUCCUCAACACCUAAAUGCUUGCUUUCUAUAUUUUGGAAUUUUUCCCCAAGAUGAAGAAGUUGAUGUGAGAAAAUUAGUGGAGCUAUGGGUUGCACAGGGAUUUUUAAAGGAAGCUGAUAAUAAAAGUUUGGAGGACAUAGCAGGAGAAUGUUUGCAAGAACUUAUAGACAGAAAUCUGGUUCUUGUAAGCGAGCAGAGUUUUUGGGGAGAAGUGGAAACAUGUAAGAUCCAUGACCUCUUACAUGAGUUAUGCUUAAGACAAACUCGAAGUGAGAACUUCCUACCUGUUACAAAAAGUAAACCACUGAAUCGAGUCACGUGUGUCUCCCGAUCAUCUGUACAGGAUUGUCUAAUUAGUGAUUUUUAUUGGUUAAACUCUCUUCGCCGUGAUCAAAAGAAAAUAUGCACUAUUGUCUAGACAGACAAGAGGGGUUGCUCUGAUGGUAAGCAACCCCCACUUCCAACCGAGAGGUUGUGAGAUUCCACCAGUUUGCGCUGGUCCUGCAGUGUCUUCUUGAAGUUCUCUAUGCGUUAAAAAGACGGUCUAGUUUGCGAAGUAUCUCAUAUCUAUAUAAAGUUCGGGCAAGAGUCGCACUCCAAAAGAAUAUAAAGUAGGUUGCCUAUCAUGAUUCAAGCAUCAGUGACAAGAGGGGUGGCUCUGAUGGUAAGCAACCCUCACUUCCAAUCGAAAGGUUGUGAGUUCGAGUCUUCCCAAGAGUAAGGUGGGAAGUUCUUGGAGGGAAGGAAGUCGGGGGUCUAUUUGGAAACAACCUCUCUACUCAAGGGUAGGGGUAAGGUCUGCGUACAUAGUACCCUCCCCAGACCCGAUUAAGUGGGAUUAUAGUGGGUUGUUGUUGUUGUCUAUAAAGGUGAACCUAAACGUGCGGAGAGAGAAAGAUUCGAAUUCAAGAUCUUCAAAAUGAUCAGAGUAUUGGACUUGAGAAAGUUAUACUUUGAUAAUGGUAUUCCAACUUCAGCAUUUGAUUUAGUGCAUCUAAGGUAUCUAUCCUUGUACAGUGAAAAACAUGAAUAUCUUCCUCUUUCCAAACUUCAAAAUUUGCAAAUUUUGAUUGUUAAAACAGGAAAUAAUUGGGAAGAUAAGGAGCCUAUAGAAAUUUGGAGGAUGCCACAGUUAAAGACUGUAUGCUUUGUCAAGACAGGAUGGCAAUGUCCUCCGAAUAUGCCAAUAGGUGGAAGGGAGCAUACUGUUUUACAACACCUACAUACUUUAACUGGUGUUGGUGCUGCAUGGUGUGAAAAAGAAACCUUGUCAUUAAUGCCUAACUUGAAGAACCUGGAAAUUGUGUUAGGCGGCGUUACUCGUGAUUUGUGGAAACAUAUUUCCUGUUUGCCUCUAAUUGAGGUACUUAGAAAUAUAGUUGGAAAAUUUAUUAUAGUGACUUUUCCCUGUACAGAUCAAAAGCACAUGAAGACUUUUUGAAAUAUCGAACCACUUUUCCACCAACCCUUAGAAGGUUGACAUUAGGCGCGCGGGACAUGUCUUCCUUGGGAGGCUAUGGACAUUGUUGGCAUGUUGCCUAACCUCGAGAUACUGGAACUGGAAGACGAUUCCUGCGGAGUUAAACCUAAGAACGCAUGGGAACCCUCCGAAGAAGGGUUUCCUCAAUUAAAGUUCUUGUCACUAUGUCAUAUGCUUUGUUUCACAGAGUGGAAAGCUACAGAAGAUCAUUUUCCUGUCUUGGAGAGACUCUUCAUAUCUCAUUGUCUGCGCUAGAAGAGAUCCCACAAGAAUUUCCAAAUAUUUUUACACUUCAAUUGAUCGACUUACAUGACUGCUGUAUUCACCUGGCCAUAUCAGCACAGCAGAUUCAAAAAGAGCAAGAAGCCACUUAUGGAAGCCAAGUGACAAAUGUCCAUACAUACAAUUGUGGACAAGGUAAGAUCAUCCAUGUUUGAUCAUGCUUUGACAAAUAUAACAUAUUACCAAGCUUUUUUGUGAGUGUUAAAUAUUUCUUUAUACUGGAGUUUUGAUUCGAUCAACUUCAUGACUAAUGUGUUAAAAAAGCUAUCGACUGAAUUGAAGGAAGAAGAGAAAGGGAGAGGUGAGGGGCAAAUUCCAAAAUGAAUAAAACUUCUGAACAUAUUUUGACUAAACAAACUAUACUAAAGCCUUCUAAUCCUUUCAUUUCUCUUGUCGCCGUUUCAACAACAAUAACAACGACAAAUCUAGUGUGAUCCCACAAGUAGGGUCUUAGGAGAAUAGUGUCUAUGCAAUAUUACCCUUACCUUGUGAGGGUAAAGAUAUCUUGUGGCUGUUUCAUACGGUAAAAUUAGAUGCACAUUGCUUAUAACCUGUUUGGCCAAGCUGCAAAAAUAAGCUUAUUUUGAGAAGUGUUUUUUUACAAAAGUGCUUUUCUCAAAAGUACUUUUGGUGAGAAACAGUUUAUGUUUGGCUAAUUAGUUUGAAAAGCACUUCUGAGCAGCAAUUAGUGGUUGGCCAAGCUUUAAAAACUGCUUUUAAGUGUAUUUUUCUCAAAAAUGCUUCUCAAAAAAGUGCUUUUGGAGAGAAGCUACUUUUUUCUGUUUCUCCAAAACUGUUUGUGCUUCUCCUCAAAAAGUACUUUUUUCCCUUUCAGAAGCUUGGCCAAAUACCUUAAUUUUUUACCAAAAGUGCUUUUGGCAAAAAAAAAAAAUACUUUUGGCCAAAAAUAAGCUUGGCCAAACAGGCUAUUAGUCUCCUGCACUCCUCUCUUCUCUUUAACUUGACAAUUCGAGUACAGUAGAAGUUUUUUAAUAUGGUUGAGGAAAUAUUAAUACAAUUUUUUUUUUAAAUUUGACAUGUCGAAACACUUGAAUUAUUUGAAUUGCGCUGAAUUCUUAGAGUAACUUUGUUACAUUUGGAUUUUGGCAUACCACUUAUGCACCAACUUUUAUAACAAUAAUAUCAUUGGAAAUGAUUUAACAAAGAAAGAGCUAGAAUUAUAUUGGUUUUGAACUUGUUUAUUACUAGUAUCUUUUAAAUGCGUGAAGAUUAUAAUUCAACUGUAAUUUGAUGAUUAAGAUGCUAAUAUUUGUACUUCUUUUCUUUUUCAUAGCUUACUGCUUCCAAUGUCAACAUUUACUGAAGAGAAAUUCCGGCUGACUGAGGAAGGUAGCUGCAACCAUACUUCAUCAGAUCUUUCUAUUUUCCGUGAGCAUGGUGUUAAGAAAUUAAGAUCCUUAUGCAUUUGGUUUUGUUUUUAUUUCUUGCUUUUCAAUUUCAGUCAUCAUUUUUUAAGGCGAAAAUAAUAUUUGAACAAAAAAUACCCCUACUUAACACACUAAUAUGAACUACUGAAUAUUGGAAUAAAAUAUAUCAGAGGAAAAUGUGUGUCAUGAACUCCAGAUUUGAUUAUUUCUAUAUUCCAGUUUUAUUCAGCAGUGAAUAGCACAAAAAUUAUAGUAAAGGCAAUUUUAGAAAAUUGAGAGCAUUCAAAUCAAUUUGGUUGCUUCACCUGUUAUCUUUCUCUCGCCGGCGACGGUACUGGAAAGCCAACGUUGCGACGUGACGGCAAUCUCCGGUACCGCUCAACAAUCUCUGGAAAGAACUUUCCCGAUGGAUCGACGGAACCCUAACUUCAAUGAUUCUGCAUUCAAAAUUGUGAAAAUUAAUUGGUAUGGUUGGACUUGUCUCACGAGUACAGAGGUCAGAGAUGAUAAUAGUUAUGGUUUCUUAUUCAAAUUCAUUGCAACUCUUUUGAAUGUUUUCACAUAUACUCCCUCCUUUCAUUUUCUCCAGUUCAAACUUUAAACUCCAUGAGCAAUUUUUGGAGUUCGAACUAAUAAAAAUUUAAAUUCCAUGAAUUUUGUUUUUCGAGACAUCUCAUACUUCAAAAUAAUUCAUGGUAUUCAAAAAACUUUUAAAAUAGUGACUAAUGUUUGAUAGCAAGAAAUGGC